CACUCUCUCUUUUUCCCCUUUCUCAGCUAAAAUCAGUUGGCUGAGGUCAGGACACACAAUGGCCAAGCCUGUGUCACUGACCAGAUCGCCUCCCACCCCCAGGCCUGUGGACAAGAGCGCCUUUGUCCGCGGUAUUUUAGGCGGGACUCCCUGGGUCUGCCCCAGCCCUGCUGGGGAAUGUUCCGCCAACUUCUUCCCAACCCGAAGUCACGGCUCUGGCCCCGGCUCCAGCCCCAGCUGCGCGAACCCAAGGCCAGAUAAAAACCCACAUACAAAGGAUGGAGAACGCUCUCCCAAAGAACCAUUGUGUUAGACCCAACCAGAGCCAGAAAGCUGCCGGGCCCGUCUUCACUCCACCCUCAUCACCUCCAAACCUGGACAGAAGGCGGGAAAAGGGAGGUGACAGCGGGCACCUACGAUGAGAGCCACCUGUGAUCACAAAGCUGUUCGUUUCAAGUGAAAAGAGCAUUGGACCCUGGGAGCAACACUGCCUCCACCAACGAGUGUGGACAGGGUCUUGGAUUCUUGGUCAAUAUUAUCAUGUCCCACCACUUAGAAGGCUUUUUUGGAGCAGCCGAAGGUUUAGCAUGUAAAAGGUCAUGCAUUUCUGGGUUUGCUUUCAGAUGCAAACCUUUGGGAUUUUAGGAACUGAUUCUUUACGUCGAAGUAAAUAGGGUUUUCCGGAGGAACUGAGGUCCUAAGGACUGGUGGUUUCCUAUCAACUCUCACUUCUUCUCUCAAACACAUGCAUGAAGCGUCUACUUAGGAAGAGGUUGUCAAUGCCAGCUCCUCGGGUGGCGGCUGGGCCAUCAGCACCAUCGUGGAGGGAGAGAGUCAGAUCAGGGUCACGCCCUUGCUGGGUCCCCGUUUACCUGCUGUGACACACAGGGCGAGGCCUCUAAGCGUCAGUGUAAAGUGGAGACAAUCACAGUUAUCUUUCCCAAAAUGCCUUUGUGAGGAUUAAACGGGGGAAAAAAAUCCGUGUAAACACUUGGCAUAGCCCAAGAGUGAUGCGAGGUGCUGUUGCUGUUGUUGUUACCACCAGAAGGGGCUGAAAGAGUAGGAGCUGCAGUUUCCCUGGACGCAAAAAAAGGUGAGACUCCACAACAAAAAGCAAACAGCCUGAUUUUAAAACGGGCCAAGGAGGAGUUCCCGCUAUGGCACAGCGGGGUAAAGAGUCUGAUGGCAGCAGCUCGGGUCACAGCUGCAGCUUGGAUUUAGUCCCUGGCUUGGGAACGUCCAUGCGCCGUGGGUGCAGCCACAAAAAUAAAUAAAUAAAAUACAGGGCAAAGGAUAUUUCUCCAAAGAAGAUACACAAAUGGCCUAAAAGCACUUGGAAAGAUACAUCUCUAGUUACUGGGGAAAUACAAAUUCAAACCACCAUGAGAUAACACCUCACACCUCUUAGGAUGGCUCCUAUCGAAACCCAGAAAAGAAGAGGUAUUGACCAGGAUGCGGAGAAACCCGAACCCUUCUGCGCUGCCGAUGGAACUGUGAGAUGCUCUGAAAAACAGGAAGGCAAUCCUUCAAAGAACUAAGCAUAGAAUUAUCAUAUGAUCCAGCUUGUCCACUUCUGGGGAUAUGCCCACGAGACUCAAAGGCAAGGACUCAAAUAGAUACUUGUACACCCCUGGUCCCAGCAGCAUUAUUCACAUUAACCAAAAGGUGGAUAUAACUCACCUGUCUAUUGACGGAUGAAUGGAUAAACAAAAUGUAGUCUAUCCACAAGCCUAAAUCUGCAUCUGUAAAAUGGCCCCAGGCCAGCCCCUAAGCAAAGAGAAGGCAGGAGGCUGCGGGGUAAUCGUCUCUCUGUAGCGGGGGAGGAGAGGCCGGAUGCAAACCCACACCCUGAGCCGCGGGACCAGCCAUGCCCUGGAACACACAGACAGGAGCAAGGUCCUUCUCUGCUCCUGGAAAUGGGAUCCCGCUCCAGAGAAGACUGAAGCAAAACUUCCUUUGCACCUAGACAGGCAAGACCCUCCACCUUCGGGGCCCCCCCGGUUCUGUGGAAUUAAAAAGGCUAUGGAGGAGUUCCCGUCGUGGCUCAGUGGUUAAUGAAUCCGACUAGGAACCAUGAGGUUGCGGGUUCAAUCCCUGGCCUUGCUCAGUGGGUGAAGGAUCCGGCGUUGCCAUGAGCUGUGGUGUAGGUUACAGAUGCAGCUCAGAUCCCGAGUUGUUGGGGCUGUGGCGUAGGCUGGUGGCUACGGCUCCGAUUAGACCCCUAGCCUGGGAACCUCCAUAUGCCGUGGGAGCGGCCCAAGAAAUGGCAAAAAAACGACAAAAAGAAAAAAGCAAAGAAGGGACGGUUUCAAGGCUGUUCAGCCUUGACACCCCUCUGACACCGCAUCGCACACAUAAGCAGAUAUAACCACAGACAAGGCCCCGCUGAAAGCAACACAGAAAGCCCAUCACAGCAGUUCUCCGUAAGGCCUCCGGCCAAUAGCAAGGGGCCUUUCUGGGUUGCUACAAUCCAGGAGGCUGACCAUUGUUCUGACCAGAACUAGACAGAACAAACCAGUCCUGCAGAGGCUGUGUUCUUUAGGAGUCACCCACGUUAACGUUUCCGGUUGUAUUAGAGGCGCACACACUUUCUAACGGGUUUACUGACUGGGGGCAUCCGAGCAUCCCAACCCAGAAGUCACGUUCAUGCUGCUUCACUGCUCUAGCCCUCUACCAUUCAAACUGGCUGGGAAAAGCACCAAUUGCUCACCUCCUUUUGGUCUCUGCAAAUAGGUAUGUUUGUACUUGGUGGAGGGGGGCACAUGGACAAACAAAAGGCAGCAGAAAACCCGAGAUCCAACAGCACAAAGAGUUGAGUGGCGUCACAUGCAACCAACCCUCCUGCAAUUAUUCUCAGUUUCGGCUGAGGUGAAAACUGUCCAUCAAAAGAGGCCACCACAUCUGCUGCGGGCCCUUUGUCCUCUGUGGGACGCGUCAUGUUGUCUUACAAUCAUAAUUAACUAAAAACAUCUGGGGAUGAUGACUCACUUUUUCUAAAUAUGCUUCAUAGUCAUGAAGGGAAAAAUUAUUCACCAGCCCAUGUGGUCUCCAGGAUACGGGGUCUCAAAGACACCCCUGCCCCCUGGAUAGGCAGCCCCUCUGGCUACAUGGUCAAUCAAUCAACUAAUAAUUAAUCAAGUUAAUAAUCAGUCGGGCCACUAACGACCCUUUCCUGAAUGCUGUGGGUAAUGUGGGACUUGACUUUGAAAGUGUGGAAGAAAAGGCACGAACACAAGUGAAGAAAAGGAAUGCCCGUACACAGGAGUCUGUGAUGAGCGCCCACAAAGUCAGGGGACAAUAAGAACUUUCAGGGAGUCCCUGUUGUGACUCAGCAGUAACAAACCUCACCAGUAUCCAUGAGGAUGCAGGUUCGAUUCCUGGCCUCGUUCAGUGGGUUAAGGAUUCAGUGUGGCCGUGAGAACUUCCAUAUGCCGCAGGUGCAGUUCUAAAAAGAGGAAAGGGAAAGAAGAAAAAAGAACUUUCAGAGGGCAGAGCGCUUUCAGCUGGGAUGAGCAGGGGCAAUGCCUCAGAAGACAGAGAAGCGGGCUGACAGCAAGGGUGAAAAGGAAGGGCCUGACCGGAGCAGAUGGACAUUCGUAAGAAGUAGGAUAAGCCGUGGUGAAGGUAAGCCUUGGUGACUGCUAAGACAUGGGGGACAGGACAAAGUAAAAGUCGACUCCAAAGGGAACAAGAGAAGUCAGAACCAGUCCCCCUGGGAUCCAGCCACGCGGUGGGAGACGUUUUAGAAGGACGUGGUGGAGUUUGCUGUCUACACAUUCAAGUUCAAAGGGAUCCCUGGGCAAGUGGGGGGAACCUGGCCCUUGGCAGGUGGAGCUGAAGCAUCUGCAUGGAGAUGGCGGUGAGAACUCACAGGGGGGCUGGCAGUUCGUGCAGGAAGGAUGCACAGUGGAACCCGGGGUGGGGGGGGGUACAUGAUUCUGGGAGCAAGAGAAUGAAUUUUCCCCGAUAUCUGGGCUCGACUCACCCCAGCCCUGUGUCCUCCCUUAGCUCACGCAGCACCCCCUGGCCCCUCUCCGUACUCUUAAACACUAAAAAUCGGGUCUUAAUCUUUUUCCCUCCAGCCCAACCCAGGGCCUCACACUCAGGGGCUACACGAUGGGGAAUGGACAGGGGUGAGUUCUGAGAAUCAGAUCGCAGAGAGGGGCUCUUAACAAGAAGUAGGUAGUGAAGUGUGCACGGAAGAAAUGAAGAAAAUGCUUAGGGAAAACGAGAGGAUGUCCUUCCCCCCACCCCCUUCCCGGCUAACUCAGAAAGAGGAAUAUGGAGUUCCUGUCGUGGUGCAGUGGUUAACGAAUCUGACUAGGAACCAUGAGGUUGCGGGUUCGGUCCCUGCCCUUGCUCAGUGGGUUAACGAUCCGGCGUUGCCGUGAGCUGUGGUGUAGGUCGCAGACGUGGCUCGGAUCCCGCGUUGCUGUGGCUCUGGCGUAGGCCGGUGGCUACAGCUCUGAUUGGACCCCUAGCCUGGGAACCUCCAUAUGCCGCGGGAGCGGCCCAAGAAAUAGCAACAACAACAACAAAAAAAAGACAAAAGAAAGAGGAAUAUGGAAAUGAGGUGGGCGUGGAAAUGUGCACACAGGCACACAAGGAGCUAGGGACCACGAGGACACACCAGGAAGGGAGGCAGGACACUCAGAGAGAUGCCCAUUCAGAACCAAGCAAGAAAGAGGACAGGGCUGCAUGUAGGCAGCGGCUGGCCCUGGCCCAGCAGGCUCACAGGAAGUCACUGGCAGCCAGUUUCCUGCACUCAAUUUGGUUGGGACCGAGGCCCCUCAUAAGGUUUCUGUGUCCCACACUGUAAAAGAGUCCUAAGAUCAAGUGGACAUAUGGCAUCUGGUUUCAGAGGUCCUGUUCGAGAUGCACGGGAUUCCCCAGCUCAGCGUCUCCAAACCUCCAUCACUCACGUUCUGCUGUCACAACUUUCUCAUCAUCCUGCAUCAGCUGCACUGUGAUUUACUUAAGUGAUUUUUUUUUUUUUUGGUCUUUUUUUUUUUUCCUGGCCAGCACUCGUGGCAUAUGGCAGUUCCCAGGCUAGG
RNAcentral lists this long non-coding RNA (5054 nucleotides) under Sus scrofa (pig). RNAcentral's name for it is "lncRNA (ENSSSCG00045022192.1)". Lineage: Eukaryota; Metazoa; Chordata; Mammalia; Artiodactyla; Suidae. The record is from RNAcentral.